CGCAUCUGUGCAUGCAGCAUAUCAAUAAGCGGAGGAAAAGAAACUAACAAGGAUUCCCCUAGUAACGGCGAGUGAAGCGGGAAGAGCUCAAAUUUGAAAUCUUAAAGGGUUUCCCUUUACGAAUUGUAGUUUAAAGAAGUGUUUUCUGUUGAGGUUUUGGUAAAAGUUCUUUGGAAUAGGACAUCAUAGAGGGUGAGAAUCCCGUAUUUGACCUUUACUUUCAACUUUGUGAUACACUUUCAAAGAGUCGGAUUGUUUGGGAAUGCAGUCCAAAAUGGGUGGUAAAUUUCAUCUAAAGCUAAAUAUUGGCGAGAGACCGAUAGCGAACAAGUACCGUGAGGGAAAGAUGAAAAGAACUUUGAAAAGAGAGUUAAACAGUACGUGAAAUUGUCAAAAGGGAAGCGUUUGACACCAGUGUUGUUUUUCUGAAAAUCAAUUAAAGAACUGUUUAUGCUAAGUUGUUUAGACUUUAUCAGCUAUCUGUUUAGUUUUGAGCUUUUCUUUAAUGCACUUUUCAGUUAACAAGUCAACAUCAAUUUCUUUUGCUGUAAAAAAGCUUGAGGAAGGUGGCUUGAGAUUCGUCUUAAGUGUUUAUAGCCUCUUGCCUAUGCAGUCGGAGAGAUUGAGGUCUGCAGCGUAGAUCCUUCGGGGCUAAAUGCAUUUGUGCUAAGUUAUAGCAUUUUAUAGACAACUUGUUGACUAUGAUUUGUCUUGUAGCUUACUCGCUUAUGUUAUUUUACCUACGCUUAGGAUGUUGAGUCGUAGAGCACGCAG
RNAcentral lists this ribosomal RNA (774 nucleotides) under uncultured Neocallimastigales. Its description in RNAcentral is "partial large subunit ribosomal RNA". It matches the Rfam family "Eukaryotic large subunit ribosomal RNA", at positions 26 to 628 of the family's 3401-position model. Lineage: Eukaryota; Fungi; Neocallimastigomycota; Neocallimastigomycetes; Neocallimastigales. The record is from RNAcentral.